This 119-nucleotide ribosomal RNA is filed under the name uncultured bacterium. RNAcentral describes it as "partial 16S ribosomal RNA". It matches the Rfam family "Bacterial small subunit ribosomal RNA", at positions 1355 to 1482 of the family's 1533-position model. The record is from RNAcentral.
CGCUACGGUGAAUACGUUCCCGGACCUUGCACACACCGCCCGUCAAGCCAUGGAAGCCGGGUGUACCUAAAGUCGGUAACCGUAAGGAGCCGCCUAGGGUAAAACUAGUAACUGGGGCU